RNAcentral lists this ribosomal RNA (483 nucleotides) under uncultured bacterium. RNAcentral's name for it is "partial 16S ribosomal RNA". It matches the Rfam family "Bacterial small subunit ribosomal RNA", at positions 28 to 523 of the family's 1533-position model. The record is from RNAcentral.
GACGAACGCUGGCGGCGUGCUUAACACAUGCAAGUCGAGCGAUGAAGCUGGAGCUUGCUCCGGUGGAUUAGUGGCGAACGGGUGAGUAACACGUGAGCAAUCUGCCCUUCACUCUGGGAUAACUGCGGGAAACUGUAGCUAAUACCGGAUACGAGACCUUGGGGCAUCCCAGGGUCUGGAAAGAAUUUCGGUGAAGGAUGAGCUCGCGGCCUAUCAGCUAGUUGGUGAGGUAAUGGCUCACCAAGGUGACGACGGGUAGCCGGCCUGAGAGGGUGACCGGCCACACUGGGACUGAGACACGGCCCAGACUCCUACGGGAGGCAGCAGUGGGGAAUAUUGCACAAUGGGCGAAAGCCUGAUGCAGCAACGCCGCGUGAGGGAUGAAGGCCUUCGGGUUGUAAACCUCUUUUAGUAGGGAAGAAGCGCAAGUGACGGUACCUACAGAAAAAGCACCGGCUAACUACGUGCCAGCCGCCGCAGUAA